This 343-nucleotide ribosomal RNA is filed under the name uncultured Eubacteriales bacterium. Its description in RNAcentral is "bacterial SSU rRNA". It matches the Rfam family "Bacterial small subunit ribosomal RNA", at positions 94 to 437 of the family's 1533-position model. Lineage: Bacteria; Bacillati; Bacillota; Clostridia; Eubacteriales. The record is from RNAcentral.
AGUGGCGGAUGGGUGAGUAACGCGUAAGAAACCUGCCUUUCACACCGGGAUAGCAGCUGGAAACGGCUAUUAAUACCGGAUGACACUUUUUCCCCGCAUAAGGAAGAGGUUAAAGAAUUUCGGUGAAAGAUGGUCUUGCGUCUGAUUAGCUAGUUGGUGGGGUAACGGCCUACCAAGGCGACGAUCAGUAGCCGGCCUGAGAGGGUGUACGGCCCACAUUGGGACUGAGACACGGCCCAAACUCCUACGGGAGGCAGCAGUGGGGAAUUUUGCACAAUGGAGGAAACUCUGAUGCAGCGACGCCGCGUGAACGAAGAAGGUCUUCGGAUUGUAAAGUUCUGUC